Molecule: non-coding RNA, 26 nt
Filed under: Rattus norvegicus (Norway rat)
Lineage: Eukaryota; Metazoa; Chordata; Mammalia; Rodentia; Muridae
Source: RNAcentral
UGACACAUGAGCACCUUCUUCAAGAA